This 497-nucleotide ribosomal RNA is filed under the name uncultured bacterium. Its description in RNAcentral is "partial 16S ribosomal RNA". It matches the Rfam family "Bacterial small subunit ribosomal RNA", at positions 28 to 507 of the family's 1533-position model. The record is from RNAcentral.
GAUGAACGCUGGCGGCGUGCCUAAUACAUGCAAGUCGAGCGAACAGACGAUGAGAUUGCUCCUCUAACGUUAGCGACGGACGGGUGAGUAACACAUGGAUCACCAUCCUAUUAUUCUUGGAUGACUUCGGGAAGAAGCAGAUACUAACGCCUCAUAUGACCAACCGCUUGGUUCAAUAGUGCAAGAGGGCUUUGCUGUCACUUAUAGCUGGUUCCGGGCCGGAUUAGCUAGUUGGUAAGGUAACGGCUUACCAAGGCAACGAUGCGUAGCCGACCUGAGAGGAUGAUCGGCCACACUGGAACUGAGACACGGUCCAGACUCCUACGGGAGGCAGCAGUAGGGAAUCUUGCGCAAUGGGCGAAAGCUUGACGCAGCAACGCCGCGUGGGUGAUGAAGGUCUUCGGAUCGUAAAGCUCUGUUAUUAGGGAAGAACAACUGUGUAAGUAACUAUGGACGUCUUGACGGUACCUAAUCAGAAAGCCACGGCUAACUUCGUG